CCUACGGGAGGCAGCAGUAGGGAAUUUUCGGCAAUGGGGGGAACCCUGACCGAGCAACGCCGCGUGAACGAAGAAGUUAUUCGUAAUGUAAAGCUCUUUUAACAGGGGAGAAAGAGAAAUUUGACGGUACCUGAAGAAUAGGCCCCGGCUAACUACGUGCCAGCAGCCGCGGUAAUACGUAGGGAGCGAGCGUUAUCCUGAAUUAUUGGGCGUAAAGGGUGCGUAGAUGGCAUAGUAAGUCUUUUGUAAAAAUGCUGGGCUCAACCCAGUAGGGCAAAAGAUAUUGCAAAGCUAGAGUGUGACAGAAGCAAGCGGAACUAGUUGUGUAGCGGUGAAAUGCGUAAAUAUAAGUAAGAACACCAGUGGCGAAGGCGGCUUGCUGGGUCCAUACUGACAUUGAUGCACGAAAGCGUGGGGAGCGAACAGGAUUAGAUACCCCUGUAGUC
RNAcentral lists this ribosomal RNA (446 nucleotides) under uncultured bacterium. RNAcentral's name for it is "partial 16S ribosomal RNA". It matches the Rfam family "Bacterial small subunit ribosomal RNA", at positions 338 to 795 of the family's 1533-position model. The record is from RNAcentral.